AGUGAACGCUGGCGGCGUGCUUAACACAUGCAAGUCGAACGAGAACGGGAUAUAGCUUGCUAUAUUUGUCAGCUAAGUGGCGCACGGGUGAGUAAUGUAUAGGUAAUAUGCCUCUUACUAAGGGAUAACAAUUGGAAACGAUUGCUAAUACCUUAUAGGCCUUUAAGACUAAAGUCUGCAAGGGAAAGUUUUAUUGGUAAGAGAUUAGCCUGUAUUGUAUCAGCUAGUUGGAGAGGUAAUGGCUCACCAAGGCUAUGACGCAUAACUGGUUUGAGAAGAUGAUCAGUCACACUGGAACUGAGACACGUUCCAGACUCCUACGGGAGGCAGCAUUAGGGAAUAUUGCACAAUGGACGAAAGUCUGAUGCAGCAACGCCGCGUGGAGGAUGACACAUUUCGGUGCGUAAACUCCUUUUAUAUAGGAAGAUGAUUACGUUACUAUAUGAAUAAGCACCGGCUAACUCCGUGCCAGCAGCCGCCGUAA
Molecule: ribosomal RNA, 484 nt
Filed under: uncultured bacterium
Lineage: Bacteria
Description: partial 16S ribosomal RNA
Rfam family: Bacterial small subunit ribosomal RNA
Source: RNAcentral